GGGUUGUGAGGUUAAGCGACUAAGCGUACACGGUGGAUGCCCUGGCAGUCAGAGGCGAUGAAGGACGUGCUAAUCUGCGAUAAGCGUCGGUAAGGUGAUAUGAACCGUUAUAACCGGCGAUUUCCGAAUGGGGAAACCCAGUGUGAUUCGUCACACUAUCAUUAACUGAAUCCAUAGGUUAAUGAGGCGAACCGGGGGAACUGAAACAUCUAAGUACCCCGAGGAAAAGAAAUCAACCGAGAUUCCCCCAGUAGCGGCGAGCGAACGGGGAGCAGCCCAGAGCCUGAAUCAGUGUGUGUGUUAGUGGAAGCGUCUGGAAAGGCGCGCGAUACAGGGUGACAGCCCCGUACACAAAAAUGCACAUGCUGUGAGCUCGAUGAGUAGGGCGGGACACGUGGUAUCCUGUCUGAAUAUGGGGGGACCAUCCUCCAAGGCUAAAUACUCCUGACUGACCGAUAGUGAACCAGUACCGUGAGGGAAAGGCGAAAAGAACCCCGGCGAGGGGAGUGAAAAAGAACCUGAAACCGUGUACGUACAAGCAGUGGGAGCCUCUUUAUGGGGUGACUGCGUACCUUUUGUAUAAUGGGUCAGCGACUUAUAUUCUGUAGCAAGGUUAACCGAAUAGGGGAGCCGAAGGGAAACCGAGUCUUAACUGGGCGUUAAGUUGCAGGGUAUAGACCCGAAACCCGGUGAUCUAGCCAUGGGCAGGUUGAAGGUUGGGUAACACUAACUGGAGGACCGAACCGACUAAUGUUGAAAAAUUAGCGGAUGACUUGUGGCUGGGGGUGAAAGGCCAAUCAAACCGGGAGAUAGCUGGUUCUCCCCGAAAGCUAUUUAGGUAGCGCCUCGUGAAUUCAUCUCCGGGGGUAGAGCACUGUUUCGGCAAGGGGGUCAUCCCGACUUACCAACCCGAUGCAAACUGCGAAUACCGGAGAAUGUUAUCACGGGAGACACACGGCGGGUGCUAACGUCCGUCGUGAAGAGGGAAACAACCCAGACCGCCAGCUAAGGUCCCAAAGUCAUGGUUAAGUGGGAAACGAUGUGGGAAGGCCCAGACAGCCAGGAUGUUGGCUUAGAAGCAGCCAUCAUUUAAAGAAAGCGUAAUAGCUCACUGGUCGAGUCGGCCUGCGCGGAAGAUGUAACGGGGCUAAACCAUGCACCGAAGCUGCGGCAGCGACGCUGAUGCGUUGUUGGGUAGGGGAGCGUUCUGUAAGCCUGUGAAGGUGUGCUGUGAGGCAUGCUGGAGGUAUCAGAAGUGCGAAUGCUGACAUAAGUAACGAUAAAGCGGGUGAAAAGCCCGCUCGCCGGAAGACCAAGGGUUCCUGUCCAACGUUAAUCGGGGCAGGGUGAGUCGACCCCUAAGGCGAGGCCGAAAGGCGUAGUCGAUGGGAAACAGGUUAAUAUUCCUGUACUUGGUGUUACUGCGAAGGGGGGACGGAGAAGGCUAUGUUGGCCGGGCGACGGUUGUCCCGGUUUAAGCGUGUAGGCUGGUUUUCCAGGCAAAUCCGGAAAAUCAAGGCUGAGGCGUGAUGACGAGGCACUACGGUGCUGAAGCAACAAAUGCCCUGCUUCCAGGAAAAGCCUCUAAGCAUCAGGUAACAUCAAAUCGUACCCCAAACCGACACAGGUGGUCAGGUAGAGAAUACCAAGGCGCUUGAGAGAACUCGGGUGAAGGAACUAGGCAAAAUGGUGCCGUAACUUCGGGAGAAGGCACGCUGAUAUGUAGGUGAAGUCCCUCGCGGAUGGAGCUGAAAUCAGUCGAAGAUACCAGCUGGCUGCAACUGUUUAUUAAAAACACAGCACUGUGCAAACACGAAAGUGGACGUAUACGGUGUGACGCCUGCCCGGUGCCGGAAGGUUAAUUGAUGGGGUCAGCGCAAGCGAAGCUCUUGAUCGAAGCCCCGGUAAACGGCGGCCGUAACUAUAACGGUCCUAAGGUAGCGAAAUUCCUUGUCGGGUAAGUUCCGACCUGCACGAAUGGCGUAAUGAUGGCCAGGCUGUCUCCACCCGAGACUCAGUGAAAUUGAACUCGCUGUGAAGAUGCAGUGUACCCGCGGCAAGACGGAAAGACCCCGUGAACCUUUACUAUAGCUUGACACUGAACAUUGAGCCUUGAUGUGUAGGAUAGGUGGGAGGCUUUGAAGUGUGGACGCCAGUCUGCAUGGAGCCGACCUUGAAAUACCACCCUUUAAUGUUUGAUGUUCUAACGUUGACCCGUAAUCCGGGUUGCGGACAGUGUCUGGUGGGUAGUUUGACUGGGGCGGUCUCCUCCUAAAGAGUAACGGAGGAGCACGAAGGUUGGCUAAUCCUGGUCGGACAUCAGGAGGUUAGUGCAAUGGCAUAAGCCAGCUUGACUGCGAGCGUGACGGCGCGAGCAGGUGCGAAAGCAGGUCAUAGUGAUCCGGUGGUUCUGAAUGGAAGGGCCAUCGCUCAACGGAUAAAAGGUACUCCGGGGAUAACAGGCUGAUACCGCCCAAGAGUUCAUAUCGACGGCGGUGUUUGGCACCUCGAUGUCGGCUCAUCACAUCCUGGGGCUGAAGUAGGUCCCAAGGGUAUGGCUGUUCGCCAUUUAAAGUGGUACGCGAGCUGGGUUUAGAACGUCGUGAGACAGUUCGGUCCCUAUCUGCCGUGGGCGCUGGAGAACUGAGGGGGGCUGCUCCUAGUACGAGAGGACCGGAGUGGACGCAUCACUGGUGUUCGGGUUGUCAUGCCAAUGGCACUGCCCGGUAGCUAAAUGCGGAAGAGAUAAGUGCUGAAAGCAUCUAAGCACGAAACUUGCCCCGAGAUGAGUUCUCCCUGACUCCUUGAGAGUCCUGAAGGAACGUUGAAGACGACGACGUUGAUAGGCCGGGUGUGUAAGCGCAGCGAUGCGUUGAGCUAACCGGUACUAAUGAACCGUGAGGCUUAACCUUACAACGCCGAAG
This 2924-nucleotide ribosomal RNA is filed under the name Escherichia coli. RNAcentral's name for it is "partial 23S ribosomal RNA". It matches the Rfam family "Bacterial large subunit ribosomal RNA". The record is from RNAcentral. Lineage: Bacteria; Pseudomonadati; Pseudomonadota; Gammaproteobacteria; Enterobacterales; Enterobacteriaceae.